GUAUUGGUGGUUCAGUGGUAGAAUUCUCACCUUCCAAGCGGGAGACUCGGGUUUCGUUCCCAGCCAAUGCA
Molecule: transfer RNA, 71 nt
Filed under: Loxodonta africana (African savanna elephant)
Lineage: Eukaryota; Metazoa; Chordata; Mammalia; Proboscidea; Elephantidae
Rfam family: tRNA
About the family: Transfer RNA (tRNA) molecules are approximately 80 nucleotides in length. Their secondary structure includes four short double-helical elements and three loops (D, anti-codon, and T loops).
Source: Rfam by way of RNAcentral